This 386-nucleotide ribosomal RNA is filed under the name uncultured bacterium. Its description in RNAcentral is "bacterial SSU rRNA". It matches the Rfam family "Bacterial small subunit ribosomal RNA", at positions 30 to 418 of the family's 1533-position model. The record is from RNAcentral.
AUUGAACGCUGGCGGCAUGCCUUACACAUGCAAGUCGAACGGCAGCACGGGAGCAAUCCUGGUGGCGAGUGGCGAACGGGUGAGUAAUAUAUCGGAACGUGCCCGGUCGUGGGGAUAACGUAGCGAAAGCUACGCUAAUACCGCAUACGAUCUAUGGAUGAAAGCGGGGGAUCGCAAGACCUCGCGCGAUUAGAGCGGCCGAUAUCAGAUUAGGUAGUUGGUGAGGUAAAGGCUCACCAAGCCGACGAUCUGUAGCUGGUCUGAGAGGACGACCAGCCACACUGGGACUGAGACACGGCCCAGACCCCUACGGAGGCAGCAGUGAGGAAUAUUGGACAAUGGGCGCAAGCCUGAUCCAGCAAUGCCGCGUGCAGGAUGAAGGCCUU